Molecule: ribosomal RNA, 505 nt
Filed under: uncultured bacterium
Lineage: Bacteria
Description: bacterial SSU rRNA
Rfam family: Bacterial small subunit ribosomal RNA
Source: RNAcentral
GAUGAACGCUAGCUACAGGCUUAACACAUGCAAGUCGAGGGGAAACGAUAGAGAAAGCUUGCUUUUUCUAGGCGUCGACCGGCGCACGGGUGAGUAACGCGUAUCCAACCUGCCCAUCACUUGGGGAUAACCUUGCGAAAGUAAGACUAAUACCCAAUGACGUCUCUAGAAGACAUCUGAAAGAGAUUAAAGAUUUAUCGGUGAUGGAUGGGGAUGCGUCUGAUUAGCUUGUUGGCGGGGUAACGGCCCACCAAGGCGACGAUCAGUAGGGGUUCUGAGAGGAAGGUCCCCCACAUUGGAACUGAGACACGGUCCAAACUCCUACGGGAGGCAGCAGUGAGGAAUAUUGGUCAAUGGACGAGAGUCUGAACCAGCCAAGUAGCGUGCAGGAUGACGGCCCUAUGGGUUGUAAACUGCUUUUAUAAGGGAAUAAAGUGAGUCUCGUGAGACUUUUUUGCAUGUACCUUAUGAAUAAGACCGGCUAAUUCCGUGCCAGCAGCCGCGG